Molecule: non-coding RNA, 554 nt
Filed under: Pan troglodytes (chimpanzee)
Lineage: Eukaryota; Metazoa; Chordata; Mammalia; Primates; Hominidae
Source: RNAcentral
UUCCUAUACUACCCUUUAAUGCAACAAUGGGAUGAAGAGAUGAAGACUUCUAGCAGGCUACCUCAGAAAGGUUGCUGACCAAAGGCUGUGUGGACCAAAAAGUCAUAACACCACCCUGGAUGAAAGGACAUUUACCUAAGGAAUUACCCUCUCUCAAUUCUUCCCAGGGAUGGGCAUUUGAAUUAUUUCCAGUUUUUGGCUAUUAUGAAAAAAACUGCUAUGAACAUUCAUACACAAGUGUGUGUGUGGACCCAUGUUUUCACUGAUCAAGGCUAAAUACCUACGUGGUGCUUCGUGAACCCUGGAUGCUACAGUCUCUGGCCACAGCACUAAAUGUAUGCUGAGAUCUGGCUUCACGGUCGAGGGUGUUGCUGGUUUUCAAUGUGCCUGACAUAGGAUCAAUGGUGAAUGCACCAGAAGCCUCAUCAGUCAGAAAAUACUCAGUUUGCCCAUUCAGGCCUUCAUCCUUGUCCACAGCUGAAAGCACGAGAACCACUGUUCCCACUUCAGCAUCUUCUCUCACAGAGGACUGGUAAUAAAGUGUGGGAAAAGAA